This 232-nucleotide ribosomal RNA is filed under the name uncultured bacterium. RNAcentral describes it as "partial 16S ribosomal RNA". It matches the Rfam family "Bacterial small subunit ribosomal RNA", at positions 100 to 334 of the family's 1533-position model. The record is from RNAcentral.
CGGGACGGGUGAGUAAUGUCUGGGAAACUGCCUGAUGGAGGGGGGUAACUACUGGAAACGGUAGCUAAUACCGCAUAACGUCGCAAGACCAAAGAGGGGGACCUUCGGGCUCUUGCCAUCGGAUGUGCCCAGAUGGGAUUAGCUAGUAGGUGGGGUAACGGCUCACCUAGGCGACGAUCCCUAGCUGGUCUGAGAGGAUGACCAGCCACACUGGAACUGAGACACGGUCCAG